UUCUAAACAAAAACCUAAACGAAAUGAUCUCUGCGCCGCUCUGUAAAACGACUGCUCAAAAAAGGAUCUUCGAACCCCUGCUCAAACUCUGAUUGCGACGAAGAGAACAAGGAUCUGACCGCGAGGUACUCAGCCAGCCUGGAGCAACAGACGGAGGUGCACACGCGCGGAGGCGUAGCAUGUGCGAGGAGGGCCGUGAUUUUCCUUCUACGGUGACUGAAGGGUUUCAGAAACCCUAAGGGUUUCUGGAAUACUCUUUCAAAAUGGGCUAAUUGGGCUUAGGUAUUGGGUUUGUAGUAUUUGGGCUUAGUGGGUCUGAUGGGUUUAGUAUUUGGGUUAAGGACCGAAUCGAGCUUAAAGUAUUAUGGUUUGAUUUGGGCUGGUAAUUUUAUUGUAAUUGGACAUUAAUAUUUUUGGACAUUAUUUACUAUUUU
Long non-coding RNA from Gossypium raimondii (Peruvian cotton), 434 nucleotides. RefSeq lists it as uncharacterized. The transcript is spliced from 2 exons. The record is from RefSeq and is a predicted model, not a curated record. Lineage: Eukaryota; Viridiplantae; Streptophyta; Magnoliopsida; Malvales; Malvaceae.